Molecule: ribosomal RNA, 245 nt
Filed under: uncultured Pseudomonadota bacterium
Lineage: Bacteria; Pseudomonadati; Pseudomonadota
Description: uncultured proteobacterium partial 16S ribosomal RNA
Rfam family: Bacterial small subunit ribosomal RNA
Source: RNAcentral
GACAGAGGUGGCAAGCGUUGUUCGGAAUUACUGGGCGUAAAGGGUGUGUAGGUGGUUGGAUAAGUCAGAGGUGAAAGCCCACAGCUUAACUGUGGAAGUGCCUUUGAAACUGUCUGACUUGAGUGCAGGAGAGGAGGGUGGAAUUCCCGGUGUAGAGGUGAAAUUCGUAGAUAUCGGGAGGAACACCAGCGGCGAAGGCGGCCCUCUGGACUGCAACUGACACUGAAACACGAAAGCGUGGGGAG